GACGAACGCUGGCGGCGUGCCUAAUACAUGCAAGUCGAACGCAUUUUCUAUCACCGUAGCUUGCUACACCGAAAGAAAAUGAUUGGCGAAGGGGGGAAUAACACCGGUGUAAUCUGCCCUACAGCGGGGGAAAACACGUGGAAACAGGUUAUAAUACCGCACUAUUCCAUUUUCCGCAGGAAAGGUUGGUGAAAGGCGAUUUUGUGGCACCGAGGGAUGGACGCGCGGUGUAUUAGCUUGGGGGUGGGGUAACGGCCUACCAAGGCUGCGAUGCAUAGCCGACCUGAGAGGGUGAUCGGCCACACUGGGACUGAGACACGGCCCAGACUCCUACGGGAGGCAGCAGUAGGGAAUCUUCGGCAAUGGACGCAAGUCUGACCGAGCAACGCCGCGUGAGUGAAGAAGGUUUUCGGAUCGUAAAUCUCUGUUGUUAGAGAAGAACAAGGAUGAGAGUGGAAAGUUCAUCCCUUGACGGUAUCUAACCAGAAAGCGACGGCUAACUACGUG
RNAcentral lists this ribosomal RNA (507 nucleotides) under uncultured bacterium. Its description in RNAcentral is "partial 16S ribosomal RNA". It matches the Rfam family "Bacterial small subunit ribosomal RNA", at positions 28 to 507 of the family's 1533-position model. The record is from RNAcentral.